GUGAUCCCAAGAGUUCCCUUGACCACUUCAUGAUGGUUUAAUAACUUCAUUUUUUGUGCCCUCCUGAAGUGUUUGGGGGAACUCCCGGGUUCAC
This is a non-coding RNA of Solanum tuberosum (potato), 94 nucleotides long. Lineage: Eukaryota; Viridiplantae; Streptophyta; Magnoliopsida; Solanales; Solanaceae. The record is from Rfam.